Molecule: long non-coding RNA, 1103 nt
Filed under: Nicotiana benthamiana
Lineage: Eukaryota; Viridiplantae; Streptophyta; Magnoliopsida; Solanales; Solanaceae
Description: long non-coding RNA (NBEN_LNC020215)
Source: RNAcentral
CAACUUCAGAACCACAGCACCCAUCAGUCGUUUUGUUUAAUGGGUGCUCACUAAAUAAUUAUAUCAUAUUGAUUAAAUUUUUGCUAUAGCUAUACUUAGUUUACGUCAAGGUUAAUGGGUGCUUGAGCACCUAAUAUUACCAUGUAAAUUCGCCCCUGCCCGCAACAAGAAAUAAUGGAUAAGGAACCUGAUUUAUUCGGUUGGUUGAGAAAUUAUGAAUCAUUUGAAUGAUGAAAGUAUGGUAAAUAUGGCAGUAAUGAUCUUUGAACUGAAGAAUUGGAUGCAGUUAACUUUUGCCUGCGAGCUGUCUGAUCUUGAAGAUGGACUUUAGAGGAUAAAAGCUUUCUGCUUGAGGCUAGAAAUUUGAUUAUCAUUUGCUGAUUUAUUGAGAAACAAUCUUUCACUAGCAAAGAGCGUUAAAAAAGAAUAAAGUUCUCACUAUGCAACUAAUAUUUCUUUUUCAGAGUUAUACUACUUGGAGGCUGGAAUAAGGGUGUAUUGUGGGCCGGCCCUAGCCCGGAACCGGCCCGGGCUCGCUUGCCAAAUGGUCCGGUUCAAACGGGCCGGUCUCUUAGUGGUGCAAAAGCUCAUAUGGGUUCGCUUGCCAAAUGGUCCGGUUCAAACGGGCCGGUCUCUUAGUGGUGCAAAAGCUCAUAGUGGGCCGGUCCUAACCAAAUACCCCGUGAGCCUGGGACUGUUUAGUCCGAGACCGGCAGACGGGUCUGGGCUAGUUCAACCGGGCCAAACGGGCUCCAAUGGCUAUUUUUUUAAAAAAAGUGCCAGCGGUCAGAUGUUUAAAAUCUAGCCGUUUGGAACUUUAAAAAUAUCUAUUUGUCCCCAAACUUUAUUUUAACCCCAAACUUUUUGUAAUUACACUUUUCCCUAUUCUCAACUAUAAAUACCCCUCAUUCUUUUAUUUUACUCACAAAUUCAUCAACCUCUCUCUAAUUUUCUUCUAUAAUUGCUUGCUUUAUUAUUGCAAUUUUGUGAAAAAUUGUGAAGUUAGUGAAUUGAAGUAUUCAAGUCUUCAACGAUAUUUAAUUUUUAAGAAGUUGUUCGUCAAUUCGGUAAACUCGUUCCAACUCUUAAGUUUUAAUAUUAUA